CAUGGAGGGUGAGAAUCCCGUUCGGUUGACCAGACUUCUUUAUGAUACGCUUUCAAAGAGUCAAGUUGUUUGGGAUUGCAGCUUAAAAUGGGAGGUAAAUUUCUCCUAAGGCUAAAUACCGGCGAGAGACCGAUAGCGAACAAGUACCGUGAGGGAAAGAUGAAAAGAACUUUGAAAAGAGAGUAAAAUAGUACGUGAAAUUGUUGAAAGGGAAACGAUUGAAGUCAGUCGUACUGGCGAAAAAUCAACUACUCGAGUGAGUACUUGUGGGCGUACGUGAGCUUCACGGCCGCGUUGUUUGCAAUGUUCGUGCUCUUGUGGUGUACUUUUUCGUAUGGUAGGCCAAUGUCAGUUUCGAUCGCUAUAAAAUGACCGGCGGAAUGUAGCUUCGAUCUCGUAUUGAAGUGUUAUAGCCUCUGGUAGAUGUGGUGAUUGGGACUGAGGAUUGCAACGAAUACCUUUUGGGCUAUCCGUCUGAUCUCUGAAGGUUGCUUAGGUGCCGAAAGCGUGCUUACGGUUAUUUAAGUUGACAGUCAAAAGGUUAGAACGUGAUUAUAUUCGUUAAGGAUGUUGACGUAAUGG
RNAcentral lists this ribosomal RNA (582 nucleotides) under uncultured Glomeromycotina. RNAcentral describes it as "LSU rRNA". It matches the Rfam family "Eukaryotic large subunit ribosomal RNA", at positions 204 to 637 of the family's 3401-position model. The record is from RNAcentral. Lineage: Eukaryota; Fungi; Glomeromycota.